This 765-nucleotide long non-coding RNA is filed under the name Falco tinnunculus (common kestrel). RNAcentral describes it as "lncRNA (ENSFTIG00000000064.1)". Lineage: Eukaryota; Metazoa; Chordata; Aves; Falconiformes; Falconidae. The record is from RNAcentral.
AUGCGUUGCACAGGUCAACAAAUUCAUGGGUGGAUUUGCUUCAUCUCCGUUGUUUUAGUAUCUGUAAAAUACUGUGUAGUUGGCAGAUUUUUAUUCCUUUAUAUAAGAUAUUAUUGCAUCAUUUUCUACAGAAUGACACCUGCUGACAUUUUUUCUCCAUUUCAUACAGAAAACAGAAGAAUUGUUCUCACUAAUACCUACCGUUUUAACAAAGAUCUGACAAUGAAGGGCAAGAGUGACUUACAAUCUUCCUCCAAGGUAUCUGAGGAGGAAGAAGGUGACUAUGAGACUGUAAGUUCUUCCACUCUGGAGGCCAUGAAUGCUUUGAGAAUCCUUCCAGCCAAACCUCAACAAGAAUCCGAAUAUGCAGAUAAACAUUGUUUAAGGCCUUUAGGCACCGCUUCCCCAACGAAUAGCCAGGACACAUCUCAGCCCCCUCAAUACUUGGCUAAACACACGCCUGUUCUGGAGGGGAGGAGCAUGUCAAGUGUUAGAGGAGAAAGAAUGAAAAUACAUGGACCCCAGGACCCUAUACCUCCCCCACGACCUCUGAAGACACUGCCAAAGCAGUAUCAGCCACUUCCUCCAGAGCCAGAGAUAAGCAGACAGUUCUUCUACAUGCGGAACACACUCAGCCAAACUCACACCUUUUCAAUAUCGGCAAAAGUAACAAGACAUCUAUCUGUUAAGGAACUAAAUGAAGUAAGUAAUCAUCUUUGUAUAUAUCAGGACCAUAAAAAACAUACUCAUUCCAUGGCUGCAUAG